Molecule: ribosomal RNA, 253 nt
Filed under: uncultured bacterium
Lineage: Bacteria
Description: partial 16S ribosomal RNA
Rfam family: Bacterial small subunit ribosomal RNA
Source: RNAcentral
UACGUAGGGGGCAAGCGUUGUCCGGAAUCAUUGGGCGUAAAGCGCGCGUAGGCGGCUAGAUCAGUCUGCUGUAAAAGUCAAAGGCUCAACCUUUGAAAGCCGGUGGAUACUGUCUAGCUAGAGUCCGGAAGAGGCGAGUGGAAUUCCUGGUGUAGCGGUGGAAUGCGCAGAUAUCAGGAAGAACACCCGUGGCGAAGGCGGCUCUCUGGGACGGUACUGACGCUGAGACGCGAAAGCGUGGGGAGCGAACAGG